UUCGGGAACUCUGACACAGGUGCUGCAUGGCUGUCGUCAGCUCGUGUCGUGAGAUGGUUGGGUUAACGUCCCGUAACGAGCGCAACCUUGUCCUUAGUUACCAGCACGUUAUGGUGGGCACUCUAAGGAGACUGCCGGUGACAAACGGAGGAAGGUGGGAUGACGUCAAGUCCUCAUGGCCUUUAUGACCAGGGCUACACACGUACUACAAUGGCCGAUACAAAGGGCAGCGACACUGCGAGGUGAAGCCAAUCCCGUAAAAUCGGUCUCAGUCCGGAUUGGAGUCUGCAACUCGACUCCAUGAAGUUGGAAUCGCUAGUAAUCGUGGAUCAGCAUGCCACGGUGAAUACGUUCCCGGGCCUU
This 363-nucleotide ribosomal RNA is filed under the name uncultured Desulfobulbus sp. RNAcentral's name for it is "bacterial SSU rRNA". It matches the Rfam family "Bacterial small subunit ribosomal RNA", at positions 1019 to 1382 of the family's 1533-position model. Lineage: Bacteria; Pseudomonadati; Thermodesulfobacteriota; Desulfobulbia; Desulfobulbales; Desulfobulbaceae. The record is from RNAcentral.